GAAUAGCUGUUGGAGUGUACCCAUUUGAAAACUGUAACAAUACAGGGUAGAUUAGCAUGACCCCUGCACAAGGAUGACAUGCAAAUUUGUGAAGUGUUCUGUAUGAAU
This is a small nuclear RNA of Protopterus annectens (West African lungfish), 108 nucleotides long. The record is from RefSeq and is a predicted model, not a curated record. Lineage: Eukaryota; Metazoa; Chordata; Ceratodontiformes; Protopteridae.